UGGGAUUGCCAUAUCUGAACUGCCACUUUCAAUGAUAAAUCUGACGGGGCUAGUUUUGUAGAGUAUGAGAAAUUGUAAGAACCUUGGGAGUCUUCCAAGCAGCUUCAGUUUUUUGAAAUCUCUGACAAAUCUUGAUCUAUUUGGCUGCUCAAAGCUUUAUAGCUUACCUGAGAGCUUUGGGUAUCUAAAACGUUUGGAGAAG
Molecule: unclassified non-coding RNA, 202 nt
Filed under: Hevea brasiliensis (rubber tree)
Lineage: Eukaryota; Viridiplantae; Streptophyta; Magnoliopsida; Malpighiales; Euphorbiaceae
Source: RNAcentral